AUGAAUACCACUACGGAUAAUUUCUCGCACUUACCGAGUAUCCACUCAUCCCCAGUUGUUUCAUGUAUGUCACCAAUCCUCGAAAUAUCACUCGAUCUUCCGAAAAUCUUGAGCAUCCUGUUGCUCUUGAAAUUCUUGAUUGCUUGCAUUAUGGUUAGUCCCAUAAGUCUAGUAAUCUUGUUGACACCCAUUGUCAUUGUCAUUUUGAGUCCGUUGAUUCGAUUUGUUGCGAAUGCUCACAAUCCUCAAACAGAUCCUAGAAUUCAUCCUUCCGGCUCAGACGUUGUUUUAAUCAUGAGCUGGUUCUCGCCAAUUAAAUUGUCGUCGAUUUUGCCCCUAAGUCUAUUGAACUUAUCCAUCCUUGAUCAGAGCGUCUGCUUCUGA
This 384-nucleotide ribosomal RNA is filed under the name Triticum aestivum (bread wheat). RNAcentral describes it as "partial small subunit ribosomal RNA". Lineage: Eukaryota; Viridiplantae; Streptophyta; Magnoliopsida; Poales; Poaceae. The record is from RNAcentral.